Pan troglodytes (chimpanzee) is the source of this 335-nucleotide long non-coding RNA. RefSeq lists it as uncharacterized. The transcript has 4 exons. The record is from RefSeq and is a predicted model, not a curated record. Lineage: Eukaryota; Metazoa; Chordata; Mammalia; Primates; Hominidae.
AGGAGCCCAGCUGGCUUUGCCUUGUCGAGGCCGCUCCAGGGCUGUGGGUGGAGCUGCCUGCCAGUCCUGUGCCGCGCGCCGGCACUCUUCAGACCUUCGGUGCAGAGAAAAGUCAGUGGGUUCAGCCUUGCCAGAUAAAAAGUAAUCAAAGGAAUGAACAGCCACAGCACCACGCACUGCUGAAUCCAAUGUCCAGGACACCUUCACUUAAGGGACAGAAGUGAAUCCCCCUCUGACCAAGAACAUCCGACUCCAAGUUCUACAGUUUUGGAACUCGGAGUGGCUCUCCUUGCUCCUCAUCCUGCAGAUGGCCUAUUGACGGACCUUGUGAUUGU